AGUGAACGCUGCGGUAGGCCUAACACAUGCAAGUCGAACGGCAGCACAGUAAGAGCUUGCUCUUACGGGUGGCGAGUGGCGGACGGGUGAGGAAUACAUCGGAAUCUACUUUUUCGUGGGGGAUAAUGUAGGGAAACUUACGCUAAUACCGCAUACGACCUACGGGUGAAAGCAGGGGAUCUUCGGACCUUGCGCGAUUGAAUGAGCCGAUGUCGGAUUAGCUAGUUGGCGGGGUAAAGGCCCACCAAGGCGACGAUCCGUAGCUGGUCUGAGAGGAUGAUCAGCCACACUGGAACUGAGACACGGUCCAGACUCCUACGGGAGGCGGCAGUGGGGAAUAUUGGACAAUGGGCGCAAGCCUGAUCCAGCCAUACCGCGUGGGUGAAGAAGGCCUUCGGGUUGUAAAGCCCUUUUGUUGGGAAAGAAAAGCAGCAGGUUAAUACCCCGCUGUUCUGACGGUACCCAAAGAAUAAGCACCGGCUAACUUCGUG
RNAcentral lists this ribosomal RNA (491 nucleotides) under uncultured bacterium. Its description in RNAcentral is "partial 16S ribosomal RNA". It matches the Rfam family "Bacterial small subunit ribosomal RNA", at positions 29 to 507 of the family's 1533-position model. The record is from RNAcentral.